This 74-nucleotide microRNA precursor is filed under the name Dasypus novemcinctus (nine-banded armadillo). Its description in RNAcentral is "miRNA (ENSDNOG00000040574.1)". The record is from RNAcentral. Lineage: Eukaryota; Metazoa; Chordata; Mammalia; Cingulata; Dasypodidae.
GUGAGGGGCUGGGAUUUGUGGGGCGAGGAGGGACCUGUACUGACGAUGGUUCUGACGGUUUAUGCCCACCCCUC